RNAcentral lists this ribosomal RNA (253 nucleotides) under uncultured bacterium. RNAcentral describes it as "partial 16S ribosomal RNA". It matches the Rfam family "Bacterial small subunit ribosomal RNA", at positions 524 to 776 of the family's 1533-position model. The record is from RNAcentral.
UACGUAGGGCGCAAGCGUUGUCCGGAAUUAUUGGGCGUAAAGAGCUCGUAGGCGGCUUGUCACGUCGGGUGUGAAAGCCCGGGGCUUAACCCCGGGUCUGCAUUCGAUACGGGCUGGCUAGAGUGUGGUAGGGGAGAUCGGAAUUCCUGGUGUAGCGGUGAAAUGCGCAGAUAUCAGGAGGAACACCGGUGGCGAAGGCGGUUCUCUGGGCAUUACCUGACGCUGAGGAGCGAAAGUGUGGGGAGCGAACAGG